GUGCUCACGUCAGCAGCAUAUAUACCAAGGUUGGAAUGGCAAAGAGAAGAUUAGCAUGGACCUUAUGUAAGAAUGACAUAAAAAUGCAUGAAGCAUCCUAAAAUUUU
RNAcentral lists this small nuclear RNA (107 nucleotides) under Neotoma lepida (desert woodrat). The record is from RNAcentral. Lineage: Eukaryota; Metazoa; Chordata; Mammalia; Rodentia; Cricetidae.